UCCCUGGUGGUCCAGUGGUCAGGACUCUGCACUUUCACUACUGAGGGUGAGGUUUAAAUCCUUGGUCAGGGAA
Molecule: transfer RNA, 73 nt
Filed under: Ovis aries (sheep)
Lineage: Eukaryota; Metazoa; Chordata; Mammalia; Artiodactyla; Bovidae
Rfam family: tRNA
About the family: Transfer RNA (tRNA) molecules are approximately 80 nucleotides in length.
Source: Rfam by way of RNAcentral